Daphnia carinata is the source of this 550-nucleotide long non-coding RNA. RefSeq lists it as uncharacterized. Lineage: Eukaryota; Metazoa; Arthropoda; Branchiopoda; Diplostraca; Daphniidae. The transcript has 4 exons. The record is from RefSeq and is a predicted model, not a curated record.
GCUUAACGCGUGCAGUCCGCUGUCUGCUUUCCUCGCUAGAUUUUACCUCUUGACCUCGUGUUAGUUGCGAUUUUCGGCAACAAAUUUACUCAUUUUUCAAUGCUGUUCAAGGGUUUAAGUUUAUUACAAAACCUAGAAGUGUCGUGAAGCACAUGGGUCAGGAAUAUCAUCGGGAUUUCGACUUACCUUGUGAAUCAUUAGAGGAUGUUAAUUUUUGGAACCUAAAGCACCUUCGCAAGCUCCCGAGAAUCAAGUCAAAACAUAUAAGUAAUUGAAAGAUUAAGAUUUUAGCAUGGACAUUAACCAUCCAUCAUUGUUUUGGUCUCUAUAAGUGGAACAAUUACAGCUAGUACUUACAGUAGUUACAACACAUGAACAAUAUUGAAGCUUCUAUAAAAAAUGCAAUAGCAUUCACAAGGGAGUGGGUUCAUAAGGACUGGCAAAUGUUUUGAUUUUGCCCUUGAUCUAAGGAAGUUGUCUUUCAAACGGUAAUGUGAUGUCUUAUGGGCACCAUGUAUAAAAAAUCUUCAUCAGCAUUCCAGAAACUUCU